UACGUAGGGGGCAAGCGUUGUCCGGAUUCAUUGGGCGUAAAGAGCGUGUAGGCGGCCAGGUAGGUCGGUUGUGAAAACUGGAGGCUCAACCUUCAGAGGUCGACCGAAACCAUCUGGCUAGAGUCCGGGAGAGGAGAGUGGAAUUCCUGGUGUAGCGGUGAAAUGCGCAGAUAUCAGGAAGAACACCUAUGGCGAAGGCAGCUCUCUGGGACGGUACUGACGCUGAGACGCGAAAGCGUGGGGAGCGAACAGG
Molecule: ribosomal RNA, 253 nt
Filed under: uncultured bacterium
Lineage: Bacteria
Description: partial 16S ribosomal RNA
Rfam family: Bacterial small subunit ribosomal RNA
Source: RNAcentral